GUCUACAGCCAUUUCACCCUGAAUGUUCCUGAUGUCGUCUGAUCUCGGAAGCAGGGUCCGGCCUGGUUAGUACUUGGAUGAGAGAGCCUGGGCAAGCAUUUGUGAUUGCCU
This 111-nucleotide ribosomal RNA is filed under the name Aotus nancymaae (Ma's night monkey). The record is from RNAcentral. Lineage: Eukaryota; Metazoa; Chordata; Mammalia; Primates; Aotidae.